Molecule: long non-coding RNA, 313 nt
Filed under: Citrus sinensis (sweet orange)
Lineage: Eukaryota; Viridiplantae; Streptophyta; Magnoliopsida; Sapindales; Rutaceae
Description: long non-coding RNA (CSIN_LNC004692)
Source: RNAcentral
GAAGCCACUCUUGGAGAGAGGAUAAGACAGGACCCUUAUCCUUUUGUAAAAGUAAAAACAUAAUUAUGAAAGGGAUAGGACAGGACCCUAUUCUACUGUUCUUAAAGAAAAAGCAAAUAACAUGAUUACAAAACAAAAAUAAAAGUAAGCUUUUAGAAAAGUAGAUACUUUGCUUUUUGUAAAAGCAAAAGCAAUUAUUACAAGCAAGCAGCAAUCACGAGACUCAUAGAUAGGAUCAUCAUUGGCUAUGAGAGGGGGACCGUUUGUCAACAUUGCUAUCUACUUCUGCGAAAGGUUCUUUCCACCAAGGUAG